AUAAUAUGUUCUGUUACAUAAAUUACAUAUAUCACUAUAUAACAUAUAACAUGACUAUAUAUAAUAUGUUAUAUUUAUGCUGUUUUUCCUGGCUAGCUUUCUCACCCUGAGUCUGGGAUCGCUAGGAGGAUAGGCAGCAGCUCAGGCAGCUGAAGUGUGUUGAGGUCAUCAUGACCGUCUUUAAGCACCUGGAGGCUGUGUGUUCAUCCAAGGACUGAAGUCACCAGGGAGAGGUGGCAGAAAUGACAGCUGAGGAGUGGAGAGGUCUUUUUUAGAUGGUAGCCCUCCUUGAACAGACCUCUACAUUCUGGAGUCCAUGUUUGUAUAAUGCCCAUUUCUCUGUCCAUUGACUGGAAUGUUGAGGCAGUGGACAGGCUCCUGGACCUGCAGUCAGGAAGACCUGAAUUCAAAUUCAGCCCCAGACACAUACCAGCUAUGUGACUCUGGGCAAGUCACUUAGCUUCUGUCUGCUUCAGUUUCCUCACCUGUAAAGUGAGGAUAAUUAUCGCACCUACCUCGUGGUGCUAUUGUGAAGAUCAAGUGGGAUGAUAUUUAUAAAGCAUUUAAGCAUAGUGCCUGGCACAUAGUAGACAAUAAAUGUAUGUUUCCUUCCUAACUACCAGCCUUUCCUAUUGACUUUCCUUUUUUCUUUUCUGACCAUCCAUGCUUCCAGAGCUAUUCAUUCCCCACUCACUCUGUUUUGAGAACUUAAAAUAUUUUAUCUUGUUUACACAAGCUCAGUUCUUUGUCAAGUCGAUUAAGGGAGGUACUGGAGAAGGUGGCAGUGUGAGUGUCUGACUAUCCCGUUCCCACCCACUCUCCCCCCAAUCCAUGCUUGGUAGAUGAGAAUAUAACAUUCAAUGUUUGUGAUGGAUUGCUAGGACUGAUGGUAUUGUCAGCAUCUUUUCAAACAUAAGAAUCAAGAUCAGCGUUUAGAGGCUUAAAAUGAUUUUUCUCUGGGUUUUCUGUGUACCUGAGCAGGCUGAUAUUUGUAUACUCUAAAUCAUCUCAAAGGUUGCUAAAGCCUACAUGAUGUUAAUGCUGAAUUUGGAGAAGACAGGAGAGACAUUCACUUUGUGCCUCCACGGACUCUGACAAGGUCUUCAGCUUUGCUACAUAUAUUCAAAUAAAAGAUUCAACUUAAAAAUCAACAACAACGAAAAUGCUUAAAGAUGGUGUUUUGUUUAGUUUCAUCUCAGUUGGUGCUCUAGCAUUUCCAUGCUAGAAUUCAAGCUCUGUGAGGGGCCAUAUCUUUUCUGAACUUUGUAUCUCCCUUGUGCCUAGUUCAGUACCCUGCACAUAGAAGGCACUUAGUAAAUGAUUGUUGAACUCUGUUGUAUUGCAUCACAGAGCUCAGAAAAGCCAAAGGAAAGGCUAGUUUGUGGGAGUGGAGGUCAAGAUCAUCUUAAGAUUGGGACCAAAUAAGGUGGUUUGGGUAAGGCCCUAUCCUUUCUAGGGGAGGUUGGAGAUCUCUGCAUAUUUGCCUCAGUAGAAAUGAACCCUAUAAGCAAGUUCUCUGUGAGUGUGUCCUGGAUAGGCAUAAUUGAAUGGAGACAAAAGACUAUAUACUCUGUAUGUAAGAUUGAAUCCCUCUUCUAUUCAGACAGCCAUGGUGGAAAAUUUGGGUAACAAAUGCUUUGGUAAUAGUGAAGAAUUAUUUUAAGUAAUUCUUCCCAGGAGAUGGAACAAACCUCAAAUUACUUGGACUAUUGCCCUCACUGGGAACUUGGCUGUCCCUUAUGCUGGAUGUUGGGGGAUUCUUUCAAUUGAGAGAAAUGGUACUGCUUGGUAAAGGUGUAACUGUCACAGGAGCUCUGAUGACUGUGGGUCCAAGAUUGGAAGCCAAACUAUAAGCAAAGAAACUUAUUAGCAUGUUAUGGAAUACUGCUCUUGCUGAAUAGCAGCUUCAUUUUCCUAGGGUACUGAUUUGGUUUUUAUGACAUUUCAGACUCAUUUAGACUACACAGCCAAUCAGCAGCAUUGUGUAGCAGCUUAGGGUAGGUAAGUAAAGCA
Long non-coding RNA from Trichosurus vulpecula (common brushtail), 2013 nucleotides. RefSeq lists it as uncharacterized. The transcript has 3 exons. The record is from RefSeq and is a predicted model, not a curated record. Lineage: Eukaryota; Metazoa; Chordata; Mammalia; Diprotodontia; Phalangeridae.